RNAcentral lists this long non-coding RNA (903 nucleotides) under Rattus norvegicus (Norway rat). RNAcentral describes it as "long non-coding RNA NONRATT016274". Lineage: Eukaryota; Metazoa; Chordata; Mammalia; Rodentia; Muridae. The record is from RNAcentral.
UUUCUUUUAGAAACAUCCUGUACCAUCUUGAUGAGAAGACAAGCCAGUUUUCCAUCCUUAAGGAGGCUUGGGAGCAGUGCAUUCCAGAGACAUCAAAUGAGACUUUGCAAGAGGCCCUGUCUACUGUGCUGAAUAGCAUUAAUUCCGCUCAUACUUUCUUCAAAACAGGACUGGAUGUGUUUGAGAGUGUCUUACUAGAAAAGAACUGAGAAAAUCUCAGAAUUUUUCAAAGUUUGUUUACAAUUGUAUAAGCAAAAGCUCUAAUUUGACCAGGUGUUUGUCUUGCUGUAUUUGUUGUCACUGAAGACUUCCCAGAAAUUUAAUGCUAUUAUACAAUAUAUUUUUAAAUGUACAUAAGAAAGAACAUUUUGUACUUUUUAAAAUAUUCUUAUAACUCCAUUGAACUACAUAACAACAAUUAUUGAAAUAAUACUUAAGAUUAAUCUAUUACAGAGAAAUAUGCCAUAUCUUUUAGAAAAACAAUGGUUGGGAGGAGAUCAAAAUAUUUUUGGCAUUGUCACUACUGUGGACAUAAUGUGGAGGAAUGCUAGUAUUAUUCUGACAAAACUCCAGGGACUUUGUUCUUAUGGAGACAUGAAGACCUGAUAAGGUUCCAGAUAAUUUUGCAAGUAUCUGUUCAAUAUGAAGACGUGAUACAUUCUGAAUGAGUGAUUGAUGCCACAAACCACUUCGAAUGUUUCUCUUUUAUACAAUAAAGUCUGUCUCCUUAACACAACUAGAUGUAAUAAUGCACUGGCUAUGAAAUUGUAUUUUGUAAGUAAUAAUGAAAAAAGAGCCAUAAACAUUCCAAGGGGAAAAUUCCCAAGAAACUAGAUGGAGCAAUUUAAAUGCAAAUUCUUCCUAAAGAAUCAAGUUUUGAAACCCUUAAAUUGCCUCAGUUGA